ACAUGAUAUUUCAAAAAACAUAGUUAUUUUUUGAAAAAUAAAUUGUUAUAGAAAAUUUUAAUCUGAAUUGAAUCUUUUAAGAAGAAAUCACAUCUGAACUUAAUAAAACCGUGUAUAUUAGAAAAUAAGAAGUUUGGGUUCGAGUCCCAGAUACUGCGAUUUAUUAGCAAAUUAAUGGAGGCAAGUAUGCAGUAGAUCUCCAACGAUGUACAAUUAUAGCCGUUCGACAAGAUUCUACGCAGAGAAGAUCAUUGUAGGUGUCCAUCAAGAGCAUGAAGAAGGAGGUGGCGUCUUUCUUGGAUCUAAUAAGGGUAGGAAAGAAUUGUUCGUAGUAGAAUCGUCUAUGUAACAAUUUUCAUAAUUUACAAUAAAUAAUAAAUGUAAGACGGCAAAAAAAGUAAAUCACAUGUGAUCUUAAUAAAAAACGU
This 428-nucleotide small RNA is filed under the name Arabidopsis thaliana (thale cress). Its description in RNAcentral is "ATSL171470". Lineage: Eukaryota; Viridiplantae; Streptophyta; Magnoliopsida; Brassicales; Brassicaceae. The record is from RNAcentral.